AAGUCGUAACAAGGUUUCCGUAGGUGAACCUGCGGAAGGAUCAUUCAUAAUAAAAGUGUUUUAUGGCACUUUUAAAACAAUCCAUAUCCACCUUGUGUGCAAUGUUUUUUUUUUAUCAAAUAACUCUAUUUUAAUUUAUUUUGUCUGAAAUAUAUUAUGAAUACUUAAUUCAAAAAUAUAACUUUCAACAACGGAUCUCUUGGCUCUC
RNAcentral lists this unclassified non-coding RNA (208 nucleotides) under Mortierella paraensis. RNAcentral's name for it is "partial internal transcribed spacer region". The stretch from base 1 to 46 matches the Rfam family "Eukaryotic small subunit ribosomal RNA", at positions 1786 to 1831 of the family's 1831-position model. Lineage: Eukaryota; Fungi; Mortierellomycota; Mortierellomycetes; Mortierellales; Mortierellaceae. The record is from RNAcentral.